CCGUGAUCCGGAUCAGGGACAGUGUCUGAUGGGUAGUUUAACUGGGGCGGUUGCCUCCUAAAGAGUAACGGAGGCGCCCAAAGGUUCCCUCAGCCUGGUUGGCAAUCAGGUGUUGAGUGUAAGUGCACAAGGGAGCUUGACUGUGAGACCGACGGGUCGAGCAGGGACGAAAGUCGGGACUAGUGAUCCGGCAGUGGCUUGUGGAAGCGCUGUCGCUCAACGGAUAAAAGGUACCCCGGGGAUAACAGGCUGAUCUUCCCCAAGAGUCCAUAUCGACGGGAUGGUUUGGCACCUCGAUGUCGGCUCGUCGCAUCCUGGGGCUGGAGUCGGUCCCAAGGGUUGGGCUGUUCGCCCAUUAAAGCGGUACGCGAGCUGGGUUUAGAACGUCGUGAGACAGUUCGGUCCCUAUCCGCUGUGCGCGUAGGAAUAUUGAGAAGGGCUGUCCCUAGUACGAGAGGACCGGGACGGACGAACCUCUGGUGUGCCAGUUGUCCUGCCAAGGGCAUGGCUGGUUGGCUACGUUCGGAAAGGAUAACCGCUGAAAGCAUCUAAGCGGGAAGCCUGCUUCGAGAUGAGUAUUCCCACCCUCUUGAAGGGUUAAGGCUCCCAGUAGACGACUGGGUUGAUAGGCCAGAUGUGGAAGCCCUGUAAGGGGUGGAGCUGACUGGUACUAAUAGGCCGAGGGCUUGUCCUCAGUUG
Molecule: ribosomal RNA, 699 nt
Filed under: Streptomyces anulatus
Lineage: Bacteria; Bacillati; Actinomycetota; Actinomycetes; Kitasatosporales; Streptomycetaceae
Description: partial 23S ribosomal RNA
Rfam family: Bacterial large subunit ribosomal RNA
Source: RNAcentral